RNAcentral lists this unclassified non-coding RNA (331 nucleotides) under soil metagenome. RNAcentral's name for it is "partial contains 5.8S ribosomal RNA, internal transcribed spacer 2, and large subunit ribosomal RNA". The stretch from base 1 to 120 matches the Rfam family "5.8S ribosomal RNA", at positions 35 to 154 of the family's 154-position model. The record is from RNAcentral.
GAUGAAGAACGCAGCGAAAUGCGAUAAGUAAUGUGAAUUGCAGAAUUCAGUGAAUCAUCGAAUCUUUGAACGCACAUUGCGCCCGCCAGUAUUCUGGCGGGCAUGCCUGUUCGAGCGUCAUUUCAACCAUCAAGCCCUGCUUGCGUUGGGGUCCUGCGGCUGCCCGCAGGCCCUGAAAACCAGUGGCGGGCUCGCUAGUCACACCGAGCGCAGUAAUACAUCUCGCUUUGGGCGUGCGGCGGGUUCUUGCCGUUAAACACCCCCUUUUUACCAAGGUUGACCUCGGAUCAGGUAGGAAUACCCGCUGAACUUAAGCAUAUCAAUAAGCGGA